GGGGGCAGAAGGGUAUCUGGUGAGCCCCGCGGUCUUCAAAACCGUAGAGGGCGGCGGUCCCGCCUUGGUGAGUUCGAUUCUUACCUGCCUCCGCCA
This 96-nucleotide transfer RNA is filed under the name Oscillospiraceae bacterium. Its description in RNAcentral is "tRNA-Sec". It matches the Rfam family "Selenocysteine transfer RNA". The record is from RNAcentral. Lineage: Bacteria; Bacillati; Bacillota; Clostridia; Eubacteriales; Oscillospiraceae.